AUCCAACCGAUGAGUCCCAAAUAGAACGAAACCUGCGUCCUGGAU
RNAcentral lists this non-coding RNA (45 nucleotides) under Schistosoma japonicum. The record is from RNAcentral. Lineage: Eukaryota; Metazoa; Platyhelminthes; Trematoda; Strigeidida; Schistosomatidae.